This 497-nucleotide ribosomal RNA is filed under the name uncultured bacterium. RNAcentral describes it as "partial 16S ribosomal RNA". It matches the Rfam family "Bacterial small subunit ribosomal RNA", at positions 28 to 507 of the family's 1533-position model. The record is from RNAcentral.
GAUGAACGCUGGCGGCGUGCCUAAUACAUGCAAGUCGAGCGAACGGACGAGAAGCUUUCUUCUCUGAUGUUAGCGGCGGACGGGUGAGUAACACGUGGAUAACCUACCUAUAAGACUGGGAUAACUUCGGGAAACCGGAGCUAAUACCGGAUAAUAUUUUGAACCGCAUGGUUCAAAAGUGAAAGACGGUUUUGCUGUCACUUAUAGAUGGAUCCGCGCUGCAUUAGCUAGUUGGUAAGGUAACGGCUUACCAAGGCAACGAUGCAUAGCCGACCUGAGAGGGUGAUCGGCCACACUGGAACUGAGACACGGUCCAGACUCCUACGGGAGGCAGCAGUAGGGAAUCUUGCGCAAUGGGCGAAAGCCUGACGGAGCAACGCCGCGUGAGUGAUGAAGGUCUUCGGAUCGUAAAACUCUGUUAUUGGGGAAGAACAUAUGUGUAAGUAACUGUGCACAUAUUGACGGUACCUAAUCAGAAAGCCACGGCUAACUACGUG